GCCUGGGGGUGGCUAGCUGCCUUAGUGUGGCUAAUUAUGUUGGUGCGUAGCUUCAGGCAAUUGAAAACGUUGGCGUUUGUGGCUGCUCGAUGACAUGCGUUGCUGCGUGGCAGAAGUAACACCAACCACAGAGAAGCUGUGCACAGCAAUGAAAACACUGACAAGACGAACAGCUGUGUUGGAGAAGCAGUGAUAAGCAACCGUAUAAAUAGCUUACAGAUGUGACAUUUUAAAAUUCUACUUCUAAAAUUGAUGCUGUCUUGUUAAUGAGCUGGAAGACCGAUUGAGAGACUAGUGAGGAACGGGUAAAUCAUAUAUCCAGCUCCUGAUUUCUUGCCUCUGAUAGAUAUGCUAACACAUGCUACCUGCAAGUCAUUGGAAUAACAAAACCAUUGGGGCCAAAUAAUCUAGAGAUACUAAGGACUUGUAUAUGCAGGAAGGCUUUUUUGGUGUAAUCUAAGGUGUGGAUUUAAACUGAUAUAACCCUGUCAAGGCUAAUUCCCCACUCUGGCACUUCAAGUACAGAAGGUGGGGGCCCACAAGGAUUUUAAAAAUUAAUACUGGCCACUCCAGGCUUGUAUUAAACUCCCAAGAUUAUAGUUUUUCUCUGACCUUGGAUUGGUAGAUGCUGCCACCACCCAAGUGCAGAACCCCUUUGAGAGCUGAGGAAGGCGCACUUGGGAAUUCCUUCCUGUGGGGUACCCUUAAACCCUUUCACACACACCCCUCUGGGGAAGAACUGCGAAAGAAAACAAAGGAAAUUAGCUGUUGCCACCAGCUAAUUAAACAUGUGCACAAACCUCUUAGGACACAAAAAUUGAAUUCUGUUCUUAAAAAAGGUAAAUUUUAUUAAUAAAAAAAAAGAAAGAAAAUACAUCUGGGAACUCAGGCUAUUGCUAGGUUUAAAAAAAAACAACUACAAGGAUUAAGCACCAAGAAUAGCUUUUCUGAGGUCCAGCUUAAAGGUUACAAGCAAAACAAAAGCACCUGGGUUUAGCACAGAGGAAUUCACAAGCCAUAAAAAAAUAAAAGAAAUAAACCUAAUCACGUCUUCCUAGACAUUUCCUGAUCUACUUACGUAUCUGGGGUUUGAAAUGAGUAGUUUUUAGGUAUGAUACUGAUGAUUUUUCAUACCCGGCCCAAACUUCUUACAGCAUAGCUCUGCCCUGUCCCCUCUCUCCAGGAAAACAACCACAGACAGACAAAACGGGAGUUGUUUUUCAAAUUGAAAAAGUUCUAGCCUUCCCAUUGGCUUUUUUGGCCAGGGGCCCACUCACUUCCUUUUACCUGUGCACAGCAGAGAGACUUUUUAACCCUUUUCAGGUAGAGCAAUUAGAGAACAGCUACGAAGAGGGAUUUUAUAGCUACUGGUUGGCUGGGUAUCCAUAAAAAAGGGAGCUCCCCUUCCCCUUCAUUAUUCACAAACCCUGUUAUAACUUUUCCAUGUACACAAGCCUUUCGGCAGAACUGGAAUGUAUGUGAGAACAGAAUGGCUGCCCUUGUUUCGUGUGCUUAUCAGUAGCCAAAUUCUGUCUGAACAUGGUGACAAUGCAAUUGUGUGUAAUAGGAAGAUGAUGGAAUAGGGAGUGUAAUGAGAGUUUCAGUGGAAGAAGAGGAGAGAACCACAUACCAGGAAGGACAGCAACAGAAGAGGGUAGCAUUCACCCUGCGACCCGUUCUUCAUCUAAAAAAAUGUAAGUCCAGUACUGCACUUCAGGCAGGCUUAUGCAAGGAGAACAAUGAGUGUAUCAAGUUGUUGUUUACAGUGCUUGUCCUUGAAAAGGUUCAUUACAUCGAUGUAGCAACACUGGCUUUGUGAAAAAGCCAAAAUGGUCUUGCCCACACAGCUGGUCUUAUGUGUGUGAUUAUACUAGUGUAUACUCUGGGACACCUGAAGCACCUGUACCCUAGUGUGUAGUACUGUAGCUCUGGGCUCGUGUCUUUUAAAUAAUUGCCAAAAUGGCUACUGACCUACUGCAGUAUUCUGAAAGCAGAGGACUGUUUGGAAAUUUUGUACAACUAUCCUAGAAUAUUCCAGGCCUGGUCAGCAUCUCCACAUUCUGGGGUGCAAUCUAGACUAGUGAGGGGUUGUGUCAGUACUGAGUGUCUCCUGUGUUAAGCAGCUCUGACUCGCCAAUUCUGAUUCCAGUAGCCUGCUUGUUACACCCUAGCCAUAUUCUGGUUUCACCUGGCAAGUGACCCCGCCGUCCCCCAGUCCUGAAUUUUCCCGGAAACAUGUGCUCUGCAAUGUCCAGUCCUCUACUGGCCCAUUCAGAGAGAUAUUAAUGUUUGUUUGUUCCUUUAAAGAUACAAUAACCAGCAGCUUGCCACACUCACUUUAAAUCAAAGACAGCACUAGGUUUAGAUUAAAAUAAGUUUAUUAACAAAAGGAGAUAGCAUCUGAAGUGAGUUCAAGUACAAGGACAGAGCUAAAACUGGUUACAAACAAAUAAAAAUUAAAUACACUUUCUAGAUGCUCAGACUUAAAAAAACAAACUGGAAGGUAGUUUCCCUCCAGAAAAAUGGCUGACCAUGUCUAUAGUUAGCAUCUCCCACAAAGUACAAAAAGCUCAGUUCCUUUUUCUCCCUAAGUAAAAGAUCACUUGGGGUUCUCUAUCUUUCUCGCUCCAGUCCAGUGAACCUUAGGAAUUGAUUCUUUUGAAGGUUACCCCCCAAAGUAAAGUAAAUUCAAACUGUGAGGAAGGUGACAUGGAGUCUCCUGGUGAAGGAAGUUUCAUGCUGGUUCCCCCCACCCCCCGGUGUUUGCAAAACUGCAAGUUGAUCUGUUUCCUGCAACCUCCUCCCACUGCUGUCUUGAUGGUCCUGUUCACUGUCUAUGUAAUUUGCAUUGACAUUGUCUCUUAAUGUACCUAAAAAAUAUUUUCCAAGGAACCACAUUCCUUUGUCUAAGAUGGGGUAACUUUAGCCUUGCCUGAGAGACGCACGUUGAUAACAUAAUCCCGAAUGUGUUUGUAAUUUUGAAUUUGUCCUCUGUACAAACACCAUGCACUAAUAUUAAUGAUCAGUAUGAAAUUAGUUUUCUAUUGAUAUCUUACAUGACAUCUUCUAGAUACAGGUUAUGACAUUAGUGAGUUGAGGUACAUUGAACUGGUCAGACCAGCUGAAACUCACUACCAGAUACCACUGAGCCCCUUACCCUCUUGCACUGGGAUGCUGUUCCGGUCAUAGCAGUCUCACAUUAAUGUCUUCCUUACCGCUUUGUUAGCAUAAGCCUUACCAAAGUGGAGUGCUGUUUCUGGACCAGAGUCCUGUGCUGGGACCCUGCAACAAGUUAAGAUUUAUUGGGCCAAAAUAAUUUCCAACUGCUCUUACUUUUCAGAUGUUCCCUUUUCUUCUGACUUAAUCCCUCGACCAGACCACCAGCCUGGGCCCUGAGCCCCACUAAUGAAAUAUAUCUAUAAAUGAGGAAGGACACAUAUGAUCUCUGUGCAGAGCUUGACCUGACAUUACAGCACGAGUCCACGCAGGUGUACAUGUAUUUCUGCUAGAUAAAAAAUGCAGAUGCUUGGACUAGCAGAUACAAUUAGUGUCCAUUUUAGCACUGAGCUAGAGUUUUUUAAUUGGUAUAUUAAUUUAUUAUGCACCAGUGAGUAUGGAAAAAAAUCCAAUAAAAGUGACAUAUUACCCCUCAGAUUAAAUUUGGGAAUUAAGCCAUUCAAGUGCCUUUAACUGUAUUUAUACUGUGGACCACAUCUCCUCCACUCCCAUUUGCAGUGAGGCAGCCUACCUUCCCAUCCAUUCUGUGCAAUUAAAGGAUGUUGCAUAAUCUUCCCACUCCCUUCUGCUCUGUUCCUUUCUCUCUUCCUGUGUGCAUGUUUCUCUACUACCUGGCCAUUUCUUCCCUGUUUGUGGUGGAACCAAAGAGGAGCAGCAGCCAGCAAAUGUGGAAUCUCUUCUUCAACUACUAUCAAAUGAGUCACAACCUACCAUACUAACUCUUUGCUUAUGGAAAAAUACCAUGUUCUAUAAUUAGUAUAAUCAGUUAAAUUUUACUGAAAUACAUUAUUUCAAUUAUCUUAAAAAAUGAAGAGGGGUUACUCAGCAACUGAAAUCUUAUAAACAAAGAUUAUAGAUUAAGAUUAGAAAUACAGAUUGUAUUUGGUUAUAA
Molecule: long non-coding RNA, 4129 nt
Organism: Chelonia mydas (Green sea turtle)
Lineage: Eukaryota; Metazoa; Chordata; Testudines; Cheloniidae
Exons: 2
Source: RefSeq, a predicted model, not a curated record